Molecule: long non-coding RNA, 1658 nt
Organism: Salvia miltiorrhiza (redroot sage)
Lineage: Eukaryota; Viridiplantae; Streptophyta; Magnoliopsida; Lamiales; Lamiaceae
Exons: 2
Source: RefSeq, a predicted model, not a curated record
CAAAGCCUACAAGAAAUCUAUUCUCAAUAGGUCUCCUUAAAUCUAAUCUUAAGUCACGGUGAAGUGCUUAAUAUUCUAUGAUUCACUUAGCCGGGUUUUCAAAAUUUAAUGAAUAAAUAAUUGAAAACAUUUUUCUUGAGUUAAGAACACCAACAAUAUUCUUACUCAUCUUUCUUUAAUAAUUGGAAUUAUAAUUAAAACCAAUUAAAUACUUUUAUUGCAAAAUAAAUGCAACUUCAUGUCAUGCUUAGCAUAUAAUAAGUAAUUUACUUAAAAUAUGCACAUAAUAAUAAUAUGAUAUUAUUAUGAAAAUUAUCCUUUAAAUAAAUUAAUCAAACUAGUAAUAGUUCAAUUAAUUAAAAAUAAGAAAGCCCAAUUUAAUUAAUUGAAGGCAAUCCAAAGUCUUUAAAAAUAAUUAAUCAAACUAAUUAAUAGUCUAAUUAAAUAAAAUAGGGAAGCCAUUUAUAUAGAUGAAAUAGAGCCCAUGCUUAAAUAAAUAAUAGUCCAUAUAAAUUUAAAAGAUGAGGCCCAACUCAAUAAAAUAGGAAUGGCCCAAACUGAAUAAAAUGAAUCGGGCCCAGCUAAAUAAAAUUAAAAAAAAUCGGCCCAAGCUUUUAAAAAAAAAUCGCAGCCCAAAACUAUUUAAAAAUAGGCCCAAAACUCGGCCCAAGUCCCUCAAGCCCAAACCUCUAAGCCCAACCCAAGCCCAACAACCCCAAACUAAGCCCUAGCCCAACACUCCCAUUUAUCCUCCCCCUCUUUUAAUCUCACACACACACAUCUGAAACACACGCACACACUCACACAUCGGCGCACGCACACACCAGAGAUUGGUGCGGUGCCGCCCUCUUCUCCGGCGAAGAGUUAUCGCCGGCCACCCAUCUCACUCGACCUAACCAAAUCGUGCCGCCACGAUUCCUCUCUGGAACCCCGGCGAGUCAGCAGCGAGAAGCUACUGCCGGUCCGCCCCUCUCCCUCGAAUCUCCGGCCUCUCUCUCUCUCCAGCCGUGGCCGGGCAGCAGCGGCCGCGCCCUCCUUUUCCGGAUCCGGCGCCACCACUGCCCUGCCUCUCUUUCUCCUUUGGCCGACAGCAGCAGCCGUGGUGCUUCUGCCGCCGCGUCGCCACCGGAAAUAGAACAGGGACUGAGCGCCGCCUGCCGCCGCGCCGUUGCCGGCCGUGAGCAGCCGCCUCCUGUUCCUACCCGACACCUACAAUGACCAGCCGCCCCCAUCAAACUCCCAGCGACAAACGACGAGGUUGCUGCCGACAGCAACAACCAGCCGCACCGCCGUGGAAGCUCGCCGGGGAGCAGCGACAGCCGCUGACGACACUCGGUUCUCCCUCCUCAGAUCGACGGCAGCAAGGCCGCCGGCCGUCACCCCUCUUCGGUCUCCAGCGAGCAAAACAGACGGCCACCACCGCCGUCCGCCGACUCCUUCUCCACUCUUCACCGUGGCUAGGCAGCAACGGCAGAGCCGCAGCGCCUAGCCUCCCUCUCGACUCCAUUUUUCAAAAAUACAUCAAAAUUGGCAUGCUUCAUAUAUGUAUCUAUAUGCACAUAAAUUGUAUGUCUGAACACUUGGUGAUUUUAAGAAAUUGUUGUUCUUUAUGAAUGUGUAUACAUAUGCACCGAAAUGAUGAGAUGAAAGUAUGUGAA